RNAcentral lists this unclassified non-coding RNA (155 nucleotides) under soil metagenome. Its description in RNAcentral is "partial internal transcribed spacer 1". The record is from RNAcentral.
CCGAGUUUACAACUCCCAAACCCAUGUGAACAUACCCAUCGUUGCUUCGGCGGAACGCCCCAGGCGCCUCGUGUGCCCUGGAUCCAGGCGCCCGCCGGGGGACCUUAACUCUUGUUUCUCUUGAGAGUCUUCUGAGUCGUUUUUGCAAAUGAAUA